This 460-nucleotide ribosomal RNA is filed under the name uncultured bacterium. Its description in RNAcentral is "partial 16S ribosomal RNA". It matches the Rfam family "Bacterial small subunit ribosomal RNA", at positions 338 to 795 of the family's 1533-position model. The record is from RNAcentral.
CCUACGGGGGGCAGCAGUGAGGAAUAUUGGUCAAUGGGCGCUAGCCUGAACCAGCCAAGUAGCGUGAAGGAUGACUGCCCUAUGGGUUGUAAACUUCUUUUAUAUGGGAAUAAAGUGCAGUAUGUAUACUGCUUUGCAUGUACCUUAUGAAUAAGGAUCGGCUAACUCCGGGCCAGCAGCCGCGGUAAUACGGAGGAUCCGAGCGUUAUCCGGAUUUAUUGGGUUUAAAGGGAGCGUAGGCGGGUUGUUAAGUCAGUUGUGAAAGUUUGCGGCUCAACCGUAAAAUUGCAGUUGAUACUGGCAGCCUUGAGUACAGUAGAGGUAGGCGGAAUUCGUGGUGUAGCGGUGAAAUGCUUAGAUAUCACGAAGAACUCCGAUUGCGAAGGCAGCCUGCUGGACUGUAACUGACGCUGAUGCUCGAAAGUGUGGGUAUCAAACAGGAUUAGAUACCCCAGUAGUC